GCGCGGGUGGCGAAACGGCAGACGCGCCGGAUUUAGGUUCCGGUCCUUUCGGGGGUGUGGGUUCAAAUCCCAUCCCGCGCACCA
RNAcentral lists this transfer RNA (84 nucleotides) under Lentisphaeria bacterium. RNAcentral's name for it is "tRNA-Leu". It matches the Rfam family "tRNA". Rfam says of the family: Transfer RNA (tRNA) molecules are approximately 80 nucleotides in length. The record is from RNAcentral. Lineage: Bacteria; Pseudomonadati; Lentisphaerota; Lentisphaeria.